GGCGAGAUGGCCGAGCGGUCCAAGGCGGUUAGUACCACUAUUAAAUCCUUUAUCUUGCCGAACAAAUCAACUAAUAAUCUCUCAGCUGGAGUAAGGUUCCAGUCUCGAAAGGGGCGUGGGUUCAAAUCCCACUCUCGUCA
Molecule: transfer RNA, 140 nt
Filed under: Aspergillus tamarii
Lineage: Eukaryota; Fungi; Ascomycota; Eurotiomycetes; Eurotiales; Aspergillaceae
Rfam family: tRNA
About the family: Transfer RNA (tRNA) molecules are approximately 80 nucleotides in length. Their secondary structure includes four short double-helical elements and three loops (D, anti-codon, and T loops). Further hydrogen bonds mediate the characteristic L-shaped molecular structure. tRNAs have two regions of fundamental functional importance: the anti-codon, which is responsible for specific mRNA codon recognition, and the 3' end, to which the tRNAs corresponding amino acid is attached (by aminoacyl-tRNA synthetases). tRNAs cope with the degeneracy of the genetic code in two manners: having more than one tRNA (with a specific anti-codon) for a particular amino acid; and 'wobble' base-pairing, i.e. permitting non-standard base-pairing at the 3rd anti-codon position.
Source: Rfam by way of RNAcentral